RNAcentral lists this long non-coding RNA (1145 nucleotides) under Cyanistes caeruleus (blue tit). Its description in RNAcentral is "lncRNA (ENSCCEG00000022676.1)". Lineage: Eukaryota; Metazoa; Chordata; Aves; Passeriformes; Paridae. The record is from RNAcentral.
AAAACCAGCUGAUUUAUUACACUUGUUCAUUUAUUAACUGCCAGUACACUCAUUUUCUUCAAACUCUUACUUUGAUGGUACGUCAGGAGUAUCAUGUUAGUAUAAGGAGAAUAGAUAUACAUUUACCUAAGCAACAAAUGAAUUCUGUAUUCUUUACAGUCUGUCCCUUCAAGCAGUUCAGAUUCCAGUAAGAAGGUAGUGGUUGUUGCCAACAGCAACCCUUUUCCACCUGUGGUAAGCUGUUUUUCUCUACAAUACAUGUUUUCUCUACAAAUCAUUUUGACUCAAAAACUUUAAAAUAUCUAAGUAUUUAAUUUUUCAGAAAUAUUACAGGAGACAAUUUUUUGGCAGGCAGGAUUUACUCUAUGUGUAUAGUUAUCUUCAGGGAAGGCUUAUCAUAAGAUAGGUACAAACUUUGUGGUACUGUGAUUGCUGUUAAUACUUGUAGGGACAAUGGAUUAACUGCAGACAUCAGGUCCCUCCAUGUAUGCAGUCUCUGUGUUCCUGAAUAAUUUUUGAUUUUCUUUUUCUAUUGCAAUUUUCUUCUGAAAGUUCACUUCCAUUCUCAUUUUUAAAUUAUUACAUUUCCACUCUGCUUACUUGGAACCAAGACUAAGUUUAGCGUUCAGGUACUUGAAAGUGAGCUUUAUAAUGUAAUAUUUUAUAUAUGUUUAAUUUCUAAUAGAACAUAUUGUUCUAACCUGAAUAAAGGUUAAGAUGCACUUGCUCUCUAUCAUCCUUUUUAUAUCAUUCCUUCACAUUCCACUAUUUAUCACAUCUGAAAUAUGAGGGCCCAUUUUCCCUUUUUCUGCUGCAAUAUUCUGUUUGGGCAAUCCCUUGUGCAAAAUAAUGAAAGAUUUUUCUGUUCUUUGCAGCGUCACACCUUCCCUCAGAGUUUGGGAAGCUCUGCUACGAGGAUCAUAGUACAGGUAGACAUUUUUUCUCCAUUAUACUUGAGUUUUAAAUGAGGAUUUAUCUGAGUAAACUAAGUAAUAAUUCCUCUCUUAGGGAACAAAUAAGUGUGGAUAACUUGGAAUUAUCUUAGAUGUCCACAAACUACAGUGGUGCAGUAGGGCAUUUCUGUGGCUAUAACAAAGGGGAUUCUUCACUGGUUGCUGAAUAAAGACUAUUGCAGCUGUUUUCCA